GACGUAGGGCGCGAGCGUUGUCCGGAUUUAUUGGCGUAAAGGGCUCGUAGGCGGUUUGUCGCGUCGGGAGUGAAAAUCCAGGGCUUAACUCUGGACUGGCUUCCGAUACGGGCAGACUAGAGGUAUGCAGGGGAGAACGGAAUUCCUGGUGUAGCGGUGAAAUGCGCAGAUAUCAGGAGGAACACCGGUGGCGAAGGCGGUUCUCUGGGCAUUACCUGACGCUGAGGAGCGAAAGUGUGGGGAGGCGAACAGG
This 253-nucleotide ribosomal RNA is filed under the name uncultured bacterium. Its description in RNAcentral is "partial 16S ribosomal RNA". It matches the Rfam family "Bacterial small subunit ribosomal RNA", at positions 524 to 776 of the family's 1533-position model. The record is from RNAcentral.